AGAUGCCCAGAGGGCUGAUUAAUUUCCUGCCAGGGCUGGCCCAAACCAUCUGGGAGUCAGAGGGCUUUAUCUAAGGGAGUAACCUGGCUGGGAGGCGGGUUUGAAUCCCAGCUCCACCGCUAACCCUCUGACACGGAGCAAGCGAUUCCACCUCCCUGAGUGAGCCUCGGUUUCUCCAUCUGAGAAAUGGCGGGGAUAAAUGGGGAAAUGCCCAGAGGUGUCUGGCAUGUUAAAUAUUCAGUUAAGUUCAAGGACGAGGACACCCGUAUUCCAGAGGGAAAAUCUGAGGCUCAGGGAGGGAAUGGACUUGCCCAAGGUCACAUAGAGGGCCUAGAACCCAGGUUCCUCCCUUCUCGCUCAGUACCCUUCAUGGAGCAACCUCUCUGCCUCGUCUCUUUUCUUGCUUCCUGAGUUCUGAGACCAGUGUAACCAAGUAAUCAGUUCCUCCCAAACUGCAAAGGGAGAAACUGAGCCACAGAGCCAACUGAGGUCCCCUGAUGGUCAAAGACGCAUACAAAGCAAAGGCCCACGCAUUGACAAUGUAAGGGCCAGGAGAAAAUGAAGGCAAAAUGAAAAUGAAGGCAAAACUCAGGCAAAAUGACCACCCCGGAGUCAGAGCAGAAAUGAACUCCUGGCAUUUUUCUAUGAGAGAAACUUUCUUUGUAUUUAUGAGAAAGAACGUGCUCUGUACUUUCCUCUCAAGUUUGCUGUGAACCUUUACCUGCUCUAAAAAAUAAAGUCUAUUAAGAAAACCAAAGAGCAAGGUGUAACUAGUCUGGUUUGAGCCAGCCGUUUGGAACCAGGGCUACACUAGGUCACCUGAGGCCCAGCCAGUGCAGGGCCCAGCACGGCACCCCACCACAGGUGGGAGCUUGACCAGUGGGGGCUGUGUUGUCACACGAGUGUCCUUCACAGCAUCUGACCCUGGUCCCAACACACUGCGUCUCCAGCAGGCUUCCUCGCUUCUGGAAAACACGCUGGGAACCCACUCCGUGCACGUGCCCCGCACCUGCUAGGGGCUCAAUGAGUUGUGUUGAGUGAACAUGGGUUUAACGCGUGUGUGUACGUCGCUAGUUCUGCUAGCAGGUUUUCAGUGUGAAUUCUCGCAGGCACUGCUCUCAGGAAAGGCUGUGCCUCAGAAGGAAGGCAGGAGCACACAUAGCCACCCAUCAGCCUUGGAAGUCGCCACGACAGGUCCCCCCACCUGCCCUCCCCGUGUGGCU
Non-coding RNA from Microcebus murinus (gray mouse lemur), 1223 nucleotides. The record is from RefSeq and is a predicted model, not a curated record. Lineage: Eukaryota; Metazoa; Chordata; Mammalia; Primates; Cheirogaleidae.